Molecule: ribosomal RNA, 365 nt
Filed under: uncultured Thermovirga sp.
Lineage: Bacteria; Thermotogati; Synergistota; Synergistia; Synergistales; Thermovirgaceae
Description: bacterial SSU rRNA
Rfam family: Bacterial small subunit ribosomal RNA
Source: RNAcentral
UGGGAGCGUACACAGGUGCUGCAUGGGCUGUCGUCAGCUCGUGUCGUGAGAUGUUGGGUUAAGUCCCGCAACGAGCGCAACCCCCUGCUGCCAGUUGCCAACGGGUGAAGCCGGGCACUCUGGCGGGGACUGCCAUCGACAAGAUGGAGGAAGGUGGGGAUGACGUCAAGUCAUCAUGGCCCUUAUGUCCAGGGCGACACACGUGCUACAAUGGCCGGCACAGCGGGAAGCGGAGGGGCGACCCUGAGCGGAUCCCUUGAAAGCCGGUCCCAGUUCGGAUUGCAGUCUGCAACUCGACUGCAUGAAGUUGGAAUCGCUAGUAAUCGCGGAUCAGCCAAGCCGCGGUGAAUACGUUCCCGGGCCUU